CUUCAAGUCUGCUGUUAAAAAGUGGAGCUUAACUCCAUCAUGGCAGUGGAAACUGUUGGGCUUGAGUGUGGUAGGGGCAGAGGGAAUUCCCGGUGUAGCGGUGAAAUGCGUAGAUAUCGGGAAGAACACCAGUGGCGAAGGCGCUCUGCUGGGCCAUCACUGACGCUCAUGGACGAAAGCCAGGGGAGCGAAAGGGAUUAGAUACCCCUGUAGUCCUGGCCGUAAACGAUGAACACUAGGUGUCGGGGGAAUCGACCCCCUCGGUGUCGUAGCCAACGCGUUAAGUGUUCCGCCUUGGGGGAGUACGCACGCAAGUGUGAAACUCAAAGGAAUUGACGGGGGGCCCGGCACAAGCGGUGGAGUAUGUGGUUUAAUUCGAUGCAACGCGAAAGAACCUUUACCAGGGUUUGACAUCCUGCGAAUCUCUUGGGAAAACGAGAGAGUGCCUUCGGGAACGCAGUGACAGGUGGUGCAUGGCUGUCGUCAGCUCGUGUCGUGAGAUGUUGGGUUAAGUCCCGCAACGAGCGCAACCCACGUCUUUAGUUGCCAGCAUUUAGUUGGGCACUCUAGAGAGACCGCCGGUGAUAAACCGGAGGAAGGUGUGGAUGACGUCAAGUCAUCAUGCCCCUUACAUCCUGGGCUACACACGUACUACAAUGCUACGGACAAAGGGCAGCAAGUUCGCGAGGACAAGCAAAUCCCAUAAACCGUGGCUCAGUUCAGAUCGUAGGCUGCAACUCGCCUACGUGAAGGAGGAAUCGCUAGUAAUCGCAGGUCAGC
RNAcentral lists this ribosomal RNA (780 nucleotides) under uncultured cyanobacterium. RNAcentral's name for it is "bacterial SSU rRNA". It matches the Rfam family "Bacterial small subunit ribosomal RNA", at positions 581 to 1353 of the family's 1533-position model. Lineage: Bacteria; Bacillati; Cyanobacteriota. The record is from RNAcentral.